GGGCCCUACGGGGCGCAGCAGUGAGGAAUAUUGGUCAAUGGCCGGAAGGCUGAACCAGCCAAGUCGCGCGAGGGAAUAAGGCCCUAUGGGUCGUAAACCUCUUUUGUCAGGGAGCAAAGGCGUCCACGUGUGGACGAGAGGAGAGUACCUGAAGAAAAAGCAUCGGCUAACUCCGUGCCAGCAGCCGCGGUAAUACGGAGGAUGCGAGCGUUAUCCGGAUUUAUUGGGUUUAAAGGGUGCGUAGUCGGAGUGUCAAGUCAGCGGUAAAAUUUCGGGGAUCAACCCCGUCUGG
This 292-nucleotide ribosomal RNA is filed under the name uncultured bacterium. RNAcentral describes it as "partial 16S ribosomal RNA". It matches the Rfam family "Bacterial small subunit ribosomal RNA", at positions 334 to 622 of the family's 1533-position model. The record is from RNAcentral.